AGUGAACGCUGGCGGUAGGCCUAACACAUGCAAGUCGAACGGCAGCACAGUAAGAGCUUGCUCUUACGGGUGGCGAGUGGCGGACGGGUGAGGAAUACAUCGGAAUCUACUUUUUCGUGGGGGAUAACGUAGGGAAACUUACGCUAAUACCGCAUACGACCUACGGGUGAAAGCAGGGGAUCUUCGGACCUUGCGCGAUUGAAUGAGCCGAUGUCGGAUUAGCUAGUUGGCGGGGUAAAGGCCCACCAAGGCGACGAUCCGUGGCUGGUCUGAGAGGAUGAUCCGCCACACUGGAACUGAGACACGGUCCAGACUCCUACGGGAGGCAGCAGUGGGGAAUAUUGGACAAUGGGCGCAAGCCUGAUCCAGCCAUACCGCGUGGGUGAAGAAGGCCUUCUGGUUGUAAAGCCCUUUUGUUGGGAAAGAAAAGCAGCAGGUUAAUACCCCGCUGUUCUGACGGUACCCAAAGAAUAAGCACCGGCUAACUUCGUG
RNAcentral lists this ribosomal RNA (492 nucleotides) under uncultured bacterium. Its description in RNAcentral is "partial 16S ribosomal RNA". It matches the Rfam family "Bacterial small subunit ribosomal RNA", at positions 29 to 507 of the family's 1533-position model. The record is from RNAcentral.